This 448-nucleotide ribosomal RNA is filed under the name uncultured bacterium. RNAcentral describes it as "partial 16S ribosomal RNA". It matches the Rfam family "Bacterial small subunit ribosomal RNA", at positions 29 to 523 of the family's 1533-position model. The record is from RNAcentral.
AGCGAACGCUGGCGGCAGGCCUAACACAUGCAAGUCGAACGAACUCUUCGGAGUUAGUGGCGGACGGGUGAGUAACACGUGGGAACGUGCCUUUAGGUUCGGAAUAACUCAGGGAAACUUGUGCUAUACCGAAUGUGCCCUUCGGGGGAAAGAUUUAUCGCCUUUAGAGCGGCUCGCGUCUGAUUAGCUAGUUGGUGAGGUAAAGGCUCACCAAGGCGACGAUCAGUAGCUGGUCUGAGAGGAUGAUCAGCCACAUUGGGACUGAGACACGGCCCAAACUCCUACGGGAGGCAGCAGUGGGGAAUCUUGCGCAAUGGGCGAAAGCCUGACGCAGCCAUGCCGCGUGAAUGAUGAAGGUCUUAGGAUUGUAAAAUUCUUUCACCGGGGACGAUAAUGACGGUACCCGGAGAAGAAGCCCCGGCUAACUUCGUGCCAGCCGCCGCGGUAA